Molecule: ribosomal RNA, 458 nt
Filed under: uncultured haloarchaeon
Lineage: Archaea; Methanobacteriati; Methanobacteriota; Halobacteria; Halobacteriales; Halobacteriaceae
Description: bacterial SSU rRNA
Rfam family: Archaeal small subunit ribosomal RNA
Source: RNAcentral
GAUAAGGGGACUCCGAGUGCGAAGGGCAUACAGUCCUCGCUAUUGUGUACCGUAGGGUGGUACACGAACCAAGAGCUGGGCAAGACCGGUGCCAGCCGCCGCGGUAAUACCGGCAGCUCGAGUGAUGGCCGAUUUUAUUGGGCCUAAAGCGUCCGUAGCUGGCCCCUGCAAGUCCGUCGGGAAAUCCACUCGCCUAACGAGUGGGCGUCCGGCGGAAACUACAGGGCUUGGGACCGGAAGACUUGAGGGGUACGUCUGGGGUAGGAGUGAAAUCCUGUAAUCCUGGACGGACCGCCGAUAGCGAAAGCACCUCAAGACGACGGAUCCGACAGUGAGGGACGAAAGCUAGGGUCUCGAACCGGAUUAGAUACCCGGGUAGUCCUAGCUGUAAACGAUGUUCGCUAGAUGUGGCACAGGCUACGUGCCUGUGCUGUGUCGUAGGAAGCCGAGAAGCGAAC